GCUUCACUUUCAUGUCCAGAGCUGCUUAGACUGAUUUCUGCAAAGUGCACAGGCAUUUUCAUGCUGAGGAUAAAGUGACAGCUGCUAAAAAGGGUUGGAAGAAAAUUUCUUAAAGCUUACAUAGCAGAAUAAAUGUCUGGGAAUAGGACCAUGAUCGCUUGUCUGGACCCAGAAAAUAUUUCCCAUUUGCUACACAGAUGCCGUCUCAUCCUUCCAGAGUUCAAGACUUCAGCAGAAAAAAAAAUCACCUCAUUAAAGGAAAAUUGUGCCUUAUCCCCACUACUCGAAGAUGCAACCAUCUGCCUGGUCACAGCCACUUUUUUCCUUUUUUUCUCACUCCAUCGUAUGUGUGUGUGGUGGGGCAGGGGAUAAGGGGAAUAAUCUCUCUCCAGUAUAAGAAGGUAAUGAUUCAAAGAUUUAAAUGCUAAACUUCUGGGACUUCGGGACUUACUAUAAAACUAGAUAAGAUCAACAACAACAAAAACAAUGCUUUCUAUUGAAAUUUGUACAGUUUUGCAAGUUCAUUUCUGCUCUUCGUCUGUUGAAGCAUCAAUAAAGUCCAAGAAAAAUACUGGGAAUCAGAUUCAUGCCCAAAGUGACCCUGUGGCAGUUGAGGAUUGACUGGGCUAGAAGACCAAAGUUUAAAGCGCAAGUUAAUCUGAGACAGAGAAAUGAAAGAGAAGAUGAGAAAGAAAAGUGGCCUCAAAAUAAGAGGAACUAGGGUCCUGGCUCAGAGGCUCAUGCCUGUAAUUCCAUCACUUUGGGAGGCCGAGGUGGGCAGAUCACCCGAGGUCAGGAGUUCCAGACCAGCCUGGCCAACAUGGUGAAACCCCGUAUCUACUAAAAAUACAAAAA
RNAcentral lists this long non-coding RNA (855 nucleotides) under Homo sapiens (human). Its description in RNAcentral is "long intergenic non-protein coding RNA 2740". The record is from RNAcentral. Lineage: Eukaryota; Metazoa; Chordata; Mammalia; Primates; Hominidae.